Molecule: ribosomal RNA, 237 nt
Filed under: uncultured soil bacterium
Lineage: Bacteria
Description: partial 16S ribosomal RNA
Rfam family: Bacterial small subunit ribosomal RNA
Source: RNAcentral
AGGACGAACGCUGGCGGCGUGCUUAACACAUGCAAGUCGAGCGGUAAGGCUCCUUCGGGAGUACACGAGCGGCGAACGGGUGAGUAACACGUGAGCAAUCUGCCCUUCUCUUCGGAAUAACCAUUGGAAACGAUGGCUAAUGCCGAAUACGACCUCCUUUCGCAUGAUCGGAGGUGGAAAGCUCCGGCGGAGAAGGAUGAGCUCGCGGCCUAUCAGCUAGUUGGCGGGUAACGGCCC